GGUUGGUCCCAGUGCAAUAGUAUUCGCAACUAACGAUCACAACCAGUUACAGAUUCCUUUCUUCCUUCUCCAGUCCUGCUGCUUCACUUGACUAGCCUUAA
This 101-nucleotide Y RNA is filed under the name Prolemur simus (greater bamboo lemur). RNAcentral describes it as "Y RNA (ENSPSMG00000002703.1)". It matches the Rfam family "Y RNA". Rfam says of the family: Y RNAs are components of the Ro ribonucleoprotein particle (Ro RNP), in association with Ro60 and La proteins. The Y RNAs and Ro60 and La proteins are well conserved, but the function of the Ro RNP is not known. Lineage: Eukaryota; Metazoa; Chordata; Mammalia; Primates; Lemuridae. The record is from Rfam by way of RNAcentral.